Molecule: ribosomal RNA, 309 nt
Filed under: Porphyromonas gulae
Lineage: Bacteria; Pseudomonadati; Bacteroidota; Bacteroidia; Bacteroidales; Porphyromonadaceae
Description: bacterial SSU rRNA
Rfam family: Bacterial small subunit ribosomal RNA
Source: RNAcentral
UUUGGUUGCAUGAUCGGGCAAGGAAAUAUUUAUAGCUGUAAGAUAGGCAUGCGUCCCAUUAGCUUGUUGGUGAGGUAACGGCUCACCAAGGCAACGAUGGGUAGGGGAACUGAGAGGUUUAUCCCCCACACUGGUACUGAGACACGGACCAGACUCCUACGGGAGGCAGCAGUGAGGAAUAUUGGUCAAUGGGCGAGAGCCUGAACCAGCCAAGUCGCGUGAAGGAAGACUGUCCUAAGGAUUGUAAACUUCUUUUAUACGGGAAUAACGGGCGAUACGUGUAUUGCUGUGAAUGUACCGUAAGAAUAA